GCCUAGCUGGCUCAGUUGGUAGAGCAUGUGAUUCUUGAUCUUGGGAUCAUGAGUUUUGAGCCCUGUGUUAGGUG
Molecule: transfer RNA, 74 nt
Filed under: Mustela putorius furo (domestic ferret)
Lineage: Eukaryota; Metazoa; Chordata; Mammalia; Carnivora; Mustelidae
Rfam family: tRNA
About the family: Transfer RNA (tRNA) molecules are approximately 80 nucleotides in length. Their secondary structure includes four short double-helical elements and three loops (D, anti-codon, and T loops). Further hydrogen bonds mediate the characteristic L-shaped molecular structure. tRNAs have two regions of fundamental functional importance: the anti-codon, which is responsible for specific mRNA codon recognition, and the 3' end, to which the tRNAs corresponding amino acid is attached (by aminoacyl-tRNA synthetases). tRNAs cope with the degeneracy of the genetic code in two manners: having more than one tRNA (with a specific anti-codon) for a particular amino acid; and 'wobble' base-pairing, i.e. permitting non-standard base-pairing at the 3rd anti-codon position.
Source: Rfam by way of RNAcentral